CAGCCGCCGCGGGAAUACGUAGGGCGCAAGCGUUGUCCGGAAUUAUUGGGCGUAAAGAGCUCGUAGGCGGUCUGUCGCGUCUGGUGUGAAAUCCCGAGGCUCAACCUCGGGCUUGCAUCGGGUACGGGCAGACUAGAGUGCGGUAGGGGAGACUGGAAUUCCUGGUGUAGCGGUGGAAUGCGCAGAUAUCAGGAGGAACACCGAUGGCGAAGGCAGGUCUCUGGGCCGCAACUGACGCUGAGGAGCGAAAGCAUGGGGAGCGAACAGGAUUAGAUACCCGAGUAGUCCCUGUCUCUUAUAC
This 301-nucleotide ribosomal RNA is filed under the name uncultured bacterium. RNAcentral describes it as "partial 16S ribosomal RNA". It matches the Rfam family "Bacterial small subunit ribosomal RNA", at positions 509 to 807 of the family's 1533-position model. The record is from RNAcentral.